RNAcentral lists this ribosomal RNA (491 nucleotides) under uncultured bacterium. RNAcentral describes it as "partial 16S ribosomal RNA". It matches the Rfam family "Bacterial small subunit ribosomal RNA", at positions 29 to 507 of the family's 1533-position model. The record is from RNAcentral.
GUGCACGCUGGCGGUAGGCCUAACACAUGCCCGUCGCACGGCAGCACAGUAAGCGCUUGCUCUUACGGGUGGCGAGUGGCGGACGGGUGAGGAAUACAUCGGAAUCUACUUUUUCGUGGGGGAUAACGUAGGGAAACUUACGCUAAUACCGCAUACGACCUACGGGUGAAAGCAGGGGAUCUUCGGACCUUGCGCGAUUGAAUGAGCCGAUGUCGGAUUAGCUAGUUGGCGGGGUAAAGGCCCACCAAGGCGACGAUCCGUAGCUGGUCUGAGAGGAUGAUCAGCCACACUGGAACUGAGACACGGUCCAGACUCCUACGGGAGGCAGCAGUGGGGAAUAUUGGACAAUGGGCGCAAGCCUGAUCCAGCCAUACCGCGUGGGUGAAGAAGGCCUUCGGGUUGUAAAGCCCUUUUGUUGGGAAAGAAAAGCAGCAGGUUAAUACCCCGCUGUUCUGACGGUACCCAAAGAAUAAGCACCGGCUAACUUCGUG